UGGUAAUUAGUUUAACCCCAAAAAUAAAUGAUUUCGACUCAUUAGAUUACGAUUCCCUAGCGUAAUUACCAA
This 72-nucleotide transfer RNA is filed under the name Graphiurus kelleni (savanna dormouse). RNAcentral's name for it is "tRNA-Arg". Lineage: Eukaryota; Metazoa; Chordata; Mammalia; Rodentia; Gliridae. The record is from RNAcentral.